Molecule: long non-coding RNA, 810 nt
Filed under: Mus spicilegus (steppe mouse)
Lineage: Eukaryota; Metazoa; Chordata; Mammalia; Rodentia; Muridae
Description: lncRNA (ENSMSIG00000026614.1)
Source: RNAcentral
CUCGUACACAGGAGACACAGCUUCUGAGUGUUCUCUAUACUUCUUAGGUUCAGUCAGAGUCCAGCCUUUUGCUGUUUUUUGGACAAAUAUAGGAAGUAAGCCUGCCAAGCAAAGAGCGUGUGUUUGUAAACCCUAGAAUCUGGGCAGCAGGAUGUUUCUGGGAAUGAAACAUCCUGCAGUCACAGGUUGAAAUGAAGUAUAGCUACAUUUCUCAUUAAACUGCUUUGAUCUUUGAUCUGUUUGUUUUCCUGUGACUGCCAAAGAGAACGGUUAAUUUUCUGUGUCAAUUACAAAGUUGCGGGUCGACCAGAUAGCUGACAAUGGGUUAUUUCUGGCUGGAUCUGUGAAAAUGACUCCAGAGAAAUGAGAGUUUGAAUGAGUAGACCGUGUAAAGAAGUCUUAACAUCACUAAUAAGGGUUCUCAUCAUUAAAUCCACUGAAGACCAAGGAGAAGAGUGGGAGAAAAUGUGAACUUCUCUCUUGAACUGCUCUCUUCAUCCUACUCUGCCAACAUAUAUUGGGGUCAAUAAUGAAAUGAAUCAUUACAUCAGUGCUCUGGAUAUCCGGUUUACAGAAGUGAUUUAUCAGACCUCUUGGAAUGUCACUUCUGCAUGGGCAGUGCUGGUCAGAGUAGUGGUGAUGUUAUCUGCAUCUGGCUAUUUACCCAAGAACCUGCUGCAAGGAUGAGACACGGGAGUGAUGGAAUUGGGAUGGGCAGGGAUCAAAGUGCAUUGAUGAAGAAAGAACUUAGACCACAUGUAUUUCACUGGCUUUGAAAUAUUUUUUUAAAGAAAAAAAGUCUGAUUUUUU